CUGAAUUACGAGAAUAAAGUACAUGAAGGAAAUCUGCCCAAAAAGGCAUACAUACACAUACGUACAACAUACGUAGAGUGAGCCGACAAGGCUGCUAUAGACAACUAUACAUCUCAAAACUGGAAGCCGGCAAGGCCACACACUAUCUAACUAGACAUAUUGUCUACAAACCUCUAAUAGAAACAUAACUGUACAAAGACGGGACUGAGCCAAAAUCAAAAGCAGCUCUAGAUCAAGUGGAGCAUGCCAACUCUCGCUGAUAAGGGAUCCUAAGAAGAGGGACCGUCAACUUUAUAACCUGCACAUGCGGGCAUGAAACGCAGGCCCUGUGAAUAGGGCAUCAGUAUGAAAAAUGUACUGAGUAUGUAAGGUAUGAAAAUUAGUACGUAAAAGACAUAGAUGAAACAUGGAAUAUAGAAACACGUCUUUAAAACUAAAUAACUUUGUAAAUUCUAAAACAUUUAUAAUGUCAUCACGUGCGUAUAAAUGUCGUGUCAUGCAUAGGUAUGGGUGUACAUUAUAUCAUAGAGCCACUGAGGGCAUCCCAUCAUAUCGUCUCAGCCACUGUGGGCAACAUUAUCAACAUAUACCAGCUGAUCAGGUGGUGGUGCGUAUAUAACGCCGUAACCUUUUCACAUAUCCCAUAUACAUAUAUUUACAUAUAUAUGCGUAUAUAACUCCAUCUGGUCAUGGGUCAAUGCACAUGCAUAAUUGGGUGAAAUGCAUGAAAAAUACAUAAAAAUCUCAAUAUUCCUUCCGGGAAAAACUUUUUUUCAACUGCAUAUUAUUCUGAGACCCAUGAACAGAAGAUAAUAAUAAUUCUCAUGGGGAAUCAAGAAUAUAGACACCCUUAAUAUCUCUAUGAAUAGAGCAAUUUAUGAAAAAUGUGUGUUUGCUCGUUUCUUUAGUAUAAUUUGGACCAAGACAAAAGAAAGAAGGGAUGGCCUUAACAUACCUGGAGUAGGAAAACUCCGUAUAAUAUUCUUGGCGAAGAUUGCACCGUACUCUUCUAGAACCGUAAAAUUCUACGUUGCUACUAUUCCAACAAAUUCUCGUUGGAAAAUUUGCUUCUGUUUCUAACAUUUUUUUAAGAAGAUAUAUAUAUCAAAGUGAGUUAUUUAGCUUCUAUUUGUAAUAUUUCUUGUGGACCAAAGACAGAACGUUUUUGAAGGAAUGAUUCAUGGAUAAUUCUUAUAAGCUCGUUAUGGGUUCUGCAGUAGCCUUUGGUUCAAAUGAUUGGGAUGAUUUCAUGCAAGAAAAUGGAGAAUUUACUCCAACUUUAAUAGUGCACAAUGAACUUCAAGCUGAAAACCAACCAAGUAUUGAAAGUGAAAAUG
Molecule: long non-coding RNA, 1337 nt
Filed under: Nicotiana tabacum (common tobacco)
Lineage: Eukaryota; Viridiplantae; Streptophyta; Magnoliopsida; Solanales; Solanaceae
Description: long non-coding RNA (NTAB_LNC002609)
Source: RNAcentral